GACUUGGUCAUGAAUGCCUAUCAGUGGGAUAUGUUCUGAAUUUGAAAAACCAUGCAGUUCAGAAUUGGUUUAAAGUAUGUUUUAAAAAAAGCCAGAAAAGUCAAAAGUAUUUUUCGCUGAUUAUUUUAGGAAAUAGUUGUCAGUAAAAUCACUAAAAUCUCUUUCAAUAACCAUUCAGUAAAAGAUAAAAUUAAACCAUUGUCCAUAUAAUCACAGCCUUAUUGACCAAUUAAUGAUUCCAAUCUGACAGCAACUGAGACAAAAUUUUACCUUUAUUUAAUCACUCCUUGCCUGAAACAUAUUUCCAUAUUUAUCCAUCUGAAUUUUAAGUUCCAUAACAAGUAUUGUUUUCCCUUUUCCUAUGGAUACCCGAACAUAGCGCCUUGCCAUGAAAUUGUAUUUUCUAAAGCAUUUUUGUUUGAUUUUAUUGUUUUAGUAGAAUAAUUUAUAUUUUCCAUGCCUCUUUAUUUUAAAUUCUAACCAAGGCUAUUAAAACACAAAUUGAAAAUGUUACCUAUUUUUAUAAUCUUAAAUCCUAAAUUACCAAUUUUUAAAUUAUGAUUUCUUUCUCCUACAUAAAUGAAUUAAUAGAAGACCUAACACCUUAAAAAAAAAAAAAAAAAACAUAAGGGCCAAUUAGCCGACCACAGUUACAGUUACAAUCUGCCCCAGUGCUUUAUUUCUCAAAUCCUUUGAACUUUUUGAUCGUCCUCAUCUUAAUUAGUUUGGGUUACUUUAACAACUUUCCACAAACUGGGUGGCUUAAACAACAAACAUUUAUUUCUUGCAGUUUUGGAAGCUGGGAAAUUCUUGAUCAAGGUGCACACAGAUCCAAUGUCUGAUGAGGGCCCAUUCGCCGACUUACAGAGGGAUAUCUUCUCAUUGUAUCCUCUGUCACUCUUCACUGGCAAAAAUCUAAUCAGCACGUCCUGCACAUGUAUCCUGGACAUUAAAUAAAAUAAAAUAUUAAAGUAAAUCUCAAUAUUAUGCCUACUAUAAAAUCAAAAUUGUGCCCCAUUAAAUCUUCAGGCUUUUUUCUAAUUUUUAUGUGAAAAUAAUAAUAUAUUAUUUUUAUUAUUUCCUAUGAGACGAGUUGGCAAGCUCUUUUUGCAAACAACUAAGGAAUAAAUAUUUUAAGAUUUACAGGACUUACAUUCUCUGUUGCACAUUUAUAUUUCUUUUUGUUUUUACACUUUAUAACCCUUUGUAAAUGUAAAAACCAUGCUCAUUUCUUAGGCUAUACAAAAUCACGUUACAGACUGAAUGUACUUUAUGGACUAUAGUUUGCCAACCCCUAUAAAAAUUAACAGUAAUUUUAAUCCAUAUUUUUAGUUUCCUCAGGUUAGCUCAACAAAGAAAGGCCAGUAGCCUCAUUAUUAUAAAUAAAUAAAUAUAUACAUAUAAUAAGGAGGCUAUA
Molecule: long non-coding RNA, 1417 nt
Filed under: Homo sapiens (human)
Lineage: Eukaryota; Metazoa; Chordata; Mammalia; Primates; Hominidae
Description: HSALNT0271858
Source: RNAcentral